AUCCAUCUGAUGAGUCCUAAAUAUGACGAAACACGCGUCCAGGAU
This 45-nucleotide non-coding RNA is filed under the name Schistosoma mansoni. Lineage: Eukaryota; Metazoa; Platyhelminthes; Trematoda; Strigeidida; Schistosomatidae. The record is from RNAcentral.